ACUUCCGGCCUGCGUCCGGAGGGGAGGGGAGGCCGUCGCCGCUGGCUCCGCCCACCGCGUGGUCCAAGGACCACCACCCGCCACCGCCGCGCGAGCGUACUAUUGCGGCCGCCCUCUGCUGCGCCUGAAGAGAGAGGCGACUCUACAAGCCUCACAGCAUGCACUGUUACUAAAAAGACGAUGCGUCCUCCUGGACCUGAGAUCUGUGUGAUCGUGGGAAAGCGACGAAAAACGAACAAAGGAACAGUAAAUGGAGUAACUUGGCUAGAAUAUGGCAGUAACUACAAGGCAUGUUCUGCUCUGGCACGAAGACAACCCACCUGAGGCACCAGACACAUGAGUGAAGCCAUCUUGGACAUCCCAGUCACAGCCAAACUCACUCCUGAGUGCAUCUGCAUGAUGAACCCAGCAAUCCCCACCAUGGAGCAAAGGAUCCAUCCAGUCAACCCAAAGAAUCGUGAAAAAUAAUAAAUUGUUGUUUUAAAGUUCUUCAGUUUGGGAAUAGCUUGUUAUGCAACAAUACAUAAUUAAUACACUGGUCUCCCACUUUCAAGUUUGAUUAACUUUCAGCUAUUUUUCACAUAGCAGGCAGAGUGAUUCCAUUAAAACAUAUAUCAGAUAAUGUCACUGCACUAAGUAAACUCUACAAGGACUCUCAUCUCCCUCAGAGUAAAGGUCACAGUUGUUACAAGGCCCUACGUAAUGUGGCCCUCACCACCACUCCAUUACCUUUUUCUUAUCUACUAUUUGCUAACUUUGCUUUGUCCUCUUUUCUGUUCUGAAACAGGCUAGGCAUGGUCCUGCCUCAAGGCCUUUGCACCACCUACUCUGUCUGCUUGGAUUGUUCUUCCCACAGAUUUCUUGCUCCCUUCUUCCUUCAUGAAGAAAUGUCAUGAAAUGUCCUUCCUUCAUGAAAUGUCACCUUCUCAUUUGAGGCCUUCUGUAGUACCCCAAAGAAUGGUCCCCAAAGAUGUCCACAUCCUUAUGCCCAGAACCUGUGAAUGUGUUAUCUUAAUGGCAAAAGUGACUUUGCAAAUGUGAUUAUAUUUAAGGAUCUUAAGGAGGAGAUUAUCCUGGAUUAUCCAGGAGGGCCCAAUGUAAUCACAAGGGCCCUUAUAAGUGAAAGGGGGAGGCAACAGAGAGAAGGAGAUGUCAUAAUGAAAACAGAUCCAAGUGAUGAGAUUGCUGGCUGGGGUGGAGGUGGAGGGGGGUACAAUCCAAGGAAUGCAAGAAGCCUCUAAAAGCUAGGAAAUGUCAGGACACAAAUUCUCCCCUAGAACCUGAGGAAGAAACCCAGGUUUAUGGACACUGAUUUUAACCCAAUAAGUCCCUUUUCUGACUGCUGACCUCCAAAACUGUAAGAUAAUAAAUUUGUGUUAUUUUAAGCCAACUGAGUUUGAGAUAAUUUAGUUAUGGCAGCAAUAGGAAACUAGCACACCUUCCUAGCCAUCCUAUCUAAAAUGGCAACCCAUGUCCUUCCUGGCACUUCCUAUCUCCCUUCCAUGUUUUUUUUAAAUCAUAUAUACAAUAUAUUUUACUGUUUUACCUAUUGUCUUUUCCACCAGAAAGUAAACUCCACGUAAAUAAGGAUUGUCUGUUUUAUUCUUUGCAGUAUCUCCACUGCCUAGGAUAGCAUCUGCACAUACU
Molecule: long non-coding RNA, 1647 nt
Filed under: Homo sapiens (human)
Lineage: Eukaryota; Metazoa; Chordata; Mammalia; Primates; Hominidae
Description: non-protein coding lnc-EGLN1-1:8
Source: RNAcentral